UACGGCCGCAAGGUUGAAACUCAAAGGAAUUGACGGGGACCCGCACAAGCGGUGGAUGAUGUGGUUUAAUUCGAUGCAACGCGAAAAACCUUACCCACCUUUGACAUGUACGGAAUUCGCCAGAGAUGGCUUAGUGCUCGAAAGAGAACCGUAACACAGGUGCUGCAUGGCUGCCGUCAGCUCGUGUCGUGAGAUGUUGGGUUAAGUCCCGCAACGAGCGCAACCCUUGUCAUUAGUUGCUACAUUCAGUUGGGCACUCUAAUGAGACUGCCGGUGACAAACCGGAGGAAGGUGGGGAUGACGUCAAGUCCUCAUGGCCCUUAUAGGUGGGGCUACACACGUCAUACAAUGGCUGGUACAAAGGGUUGCCAACCCGCGAGGGGGAGCUAAUCCCAUAAAACCAGUCGUAGUCCGGAUCGCAGUCUGCAACUCGACUGCGUGAAGUCGGAAUCGCUAGUAAUCGUGGAUCAGAAUGUCACGGUGAAUACGUUCCCGGGUCUUGUACACACCGCCCGUCACACCAUGGGAGCGGGUUCUGCCAGAAGUAGUUAGCUUAACCGCAAGGAGGGCGAUUACCACGGCAGGGUUCGUGACU
Molecule: ribosomal RNA, 595 nt
Filed under: bacterium enrichment culture
Lineage: Bacteria
Description: bacterial SSU rRNA
Rfam family: Bacterial small subunit ribosomal RNA
Source: RNAcentral